GAUGAACGCUAGCGAUAGGCUUAACACAUGCAAGUCGAGGGGCAGCGCGGGUAGCAAUACCUGUCGGCGACCGGCGCACGGGUGAGUAACGCGUAUGUAACCUGCCCGCAACAGGGGGAUAACCCGGCGAAAGUCGGACUAAUACCGCAUAAAACAGGGGUCCCGCAUGGGAAUAUUUGUUAAAGAUUUAUCGGUUGCGGAUGGGCAUGCGUACCAUUAGGUAGUUGGUGAGGUAACGGCUCACCAAGCCUUCGAUGGUUAGGGGUUCUGAGAGGAAGGUCCCCCACACUGGUACUGAGACACGGACCAGACUCCUACGGGAGGCAGCAGUGAGGAAUAUUGGGCUAUGGGCGAGAGCCUGAACCAGCCAAGUCGCGUGAAGGAUGACUGCCCUAUGGGUUGUAAACUUCUUUUACAAGGGAAUAAAAUGAGAUACGUGUAUUUUAUUGCAUGUACCUUGGGAAUAAGCAUCGGCUAACUCCGUG
RNAcentral lists this ribosomal RNA (485 nucleotides) under uncultured bacterium. RNAcentral's name for it is "partial 16S ribosomal RNA". It matches the Rfam family "Bacterial small subunit ribosomal RNA", at positions 28 to 507 of the family's 1533-position model. The record is from RNAcentral.